This 1554-nucleotide ribosomal RNA is filed under the name Salmonella enterica subsp. enterica serovar Newport. RNAcentral's name for it is "bacterial SSU rRNA". It matches the Rfam family "Bacterial small subunit ribosomal RNA". Lineage: Bacteria; Pseudomonadati; Pseudomonadota; Gammaproteobacteria; Enterobacterales; Enterobacteriaceae. The record is from RNAcentral. RNAcentral also lists the same sequence under 2 other names.
UUAAAUUGAAGAGUUUGAUCAUGGCUCAGAUUGAACGCUGGCGGCAGGCCUAACACAUGCAAGUCGAACGGUAACAGGAAGCAGCUUGCUGUUUCGCUGACGAGUGGCGGACGGGUGAGUAAUGUCUGGGAAACUGCCUGAUGGAGGGGGAUAACUACUGGAAACGGUGGCUAAUACCGCAUAACGUCGCAAGACCAAAGAGGGGGACCUUCGGGCCUCUUGCCAUCAGAUGUGCCCAGAUGGGAUUAGCUAGUUGGUGAGGUAACGGCUCACCAAGGCGACGAUCCCUAGCUGGUCUGAGAGGAUGACCAGCCACACUGGAACUGAGACACGGUCCAGACUCCUACGGGAGGCAGCAGUGGGGAAUAUUGCACAAUGGGCGCAAGCCUGAUGCAGCCAUGCCGCGUGUAUGAAGAAGGCCUUCGGGUUGUAAAGUACUUUCAGCGGGGAGGAAGGUGUUGUGGUUAAUAACCGCAGCAAUUGACGUUACCCGCAGAAGAAGCACCGGCUAACUCCGUGCCAGCAGCCGCGGUAAUACGGAGGGUGCAAGCGUUAAUCGGAAUUACUGGGCGUAAAGCGCACGCAGGCGGUCUGUCAAGUCGGAUGUGAAAUCCCCGGGCUCAACCUGGGAACUGCAUUCGAAACUGGCAGGCUUGAGUCUUGUAGAGGGGGGUAGAAUUCCAGGUGUAGCGGUGAAAUGCGUAGAGAUCUGGAGGAAUACCGGUGGCGAAGGCGGCCCCCUGGACAAAGACUGACGCUCAGGUGCGAAAGCGUGGGGAGCAAACAGGAUUAGAUACCCUGGUAGUCCACGCCGUAAACGAUGUCUACUUGGAGGUUGUGCCCUUGAGGCGUGGCUUCCGGAGCUAACGCGUUAAGUAGACCGCCUGGGGAGUACGGCCGCAAGGUUAAAACUCAAAUGAAUUGACGGGGGCCCGCACAAGCGGUGGAGCAUGUGGUUUAAUUCGAUGCAACGCGAAGAACCUUACCUGGUCUUGACAUCCACAGAAGAAUCCAGAGAUGGAUUUGUGCCUUCGGGAACUGUGAGACAGGUGCUGCAUGGCUGUCGUCAGCUCGUGUUGUGAAAUGUUGGGUUAAGUCCCGCAACGAGCGCAACCCUUAUCCUUUGUUGCCAGCGGUUAGGCCGGGAACUCAAAGGAGACUGCCAGUGAUAAACUGGAGGAAGGUGGGGAUGACGUCAAGUCAUCAUGGCCCUUACGACCAGGGCUACACACGUGCUACAAUGGCGCAUACAAAGAGAAGCGACCUCGCGAGAGCAAGCGGACCUCAUAAAGUGCGUCGUAGUCCGGAUUGGAGUCUGCAACUCGACUCCAUGAAGUCGGAAUCGCUAGUAAUCGUGGAUCAGAAUGCCACGGUGAAUACGUUCCCGGGCCUUGUACACACCGCCCGUCACACCAUGGGAGUGGGUUGCAAAAGAAGUAGGUAGCUUAACCUUCGGGAGGGCGCUUACCACUUUGUGAUUCAUGACUGGGGUGAAGUCGUAACAAGGUAACCGUAGGGGAACCUGCGGUUGGAUCACCUCCUUACCUUAAAGAA